UACGUAGGGUGCAAGCGUUGUCCGGAAUUAUUGGGCGUAAAGAGCUCGUAGGCGGUUUGUUGCGUCGGCUGUGAAAUCCCGAGGCUCAACCUCGGGUCUGCAGUCGAUACGAGCAAACUAGAGUGUUGCAGGGGAGACUGGAAUUCCUGGUGUAGCGGUGAAAUUCGAUAGAUAUCGGGAGGAACACCGGUGGCGAAGGCGGCGAUCUGGGUCGAUACUGACGCGUGAGGUGCGAAAGCGUUGGGGAGCAAACAGG
RNAcentral lists this ribosomal RNA (256 nucleotides) under uncultured bacterium. RNAcentral's name for it is "partial 16S ribosomal RNA". It matches the Rfam family "Bacterial small subunit ribosomal RNA", at positions 524 to 776 of the family's 1533-position model. The record is from RNAcentral.